This 274-nucleotide ribosomal RNA is filed under the name uncultured bacterium. RNAcentral's name for it is "partial 16S ribosomal RNA". It matches the Rfam family "Bacterial small subunit ribosomal RNA", at positions 523 to 796 of the family's 1533-position model. The record is from RNAcentral.
AUACGAACCGGACAAACGUUAUUCGGAAUUAUUGGGCUUAAAGGGUGCGUAGGCGGCUUGGUAGGUGGGGUGUGAAAUCCCUCGGCUCAACCGAGGAAUUGCGCUCAAAACCGCUAGGCUUGAGUGAGAUAGGGGAAAGCGGAACUGAUGGUGGAGCGGUGAAAUGCGUUGAUAUCAUCAGGAACACCGGUGGCGAAGGCGGCUUUCUGGGUCUUUACUGACGCUGAGGCACGAAAGCUAGGGGAGCGAACGGGAUUAGAUACCCCGGUAGUCC